RNAcentral lists this unclassified non-coding RNA (425 nucleotides) under Hevea brasiliensis (rubber tree). The record is from RNAcentral. Lineage: Eukaryota; Viridiplantae; Streptophyta; Magnoliopsida; Malpighiales; Euphorbiaceae.
CUUCUUUCUUGCCAAAAAUCUCUCCCUCUUUCUCCUUGUGGAAAGAAAGAUAAAAAGAAGUUUUUAUAUGGUUCAAAGGUCUGCCCUAGAAUGGGUAAAAAGGUAGAAGAUUCUGGAGAAAGUGAUGUAUUAAAUCAGAGGAACGAAAGUGCCAGGUCAGCCAUUUUUAGUAAAACGACACAAGCUGAAUCGGUUGUGUCACGCCUUGUGUCGCAGGUUGUGAAACAGUCUGCCCGAGAAAAACUGCAUAUUUGACAGUCGACACAACCUGUGACACAAGCUAUGUUGCAAGUUGUGUAACUUUCGGCCCAUUUAACUCAACUUCAAAAUUUUGCAAUUCAACUUUAAUUUCUUCCAAAUGGCUGCUCUGAUCAAAAUACACCAAAAUUCUCCAAAUUUAACCUAAAUGAUGAUAUAAAAUGCAU